CUCUGACCGGUACAGAGAUGUACCUUUCCUUCGGGACAGAGGAGACAGGUGGUGCAUGGUUGUCGUCAGCUCGUGUCGUGAGAUGUUGGGUUAAGUCCCGCAACGAGCGCAACCCUUAUAUUUAGUUGCCAGCACUUCGGGUGGGCACUCUAGAUAGACUGCCGGUGACAAACCGGAGGAAGGUGGGGAUGACGUCAAAUCAUCAUGCCCCUUAUGACCUGGGCUACACACGUACUACAAUGGCCGGUACAACGGGCUGCGAAAUCGCGAGAUGGAGCCAAUCCCAACAAAGCCGGUCUCAGUUCGGAUUGCAGGCUGCAACUCGCCUGCAUGAAGUCGGAAUUGCUAGUAAUCGCGGAUCAGCAUGCCGCGGUGAAUACGUUCCCGGGUCUUG
Molecule: ribosomal RNA, 394 nt
Filed under: uncultured Paenibacillus sp.
Lineage: Bacteria; Bacillati; Bacillota; Bacilli; Caryophanales; Paenibacillaceae
Description: bacterial SSU rRNA
Rfam family: Bacterial small subunit ribosomal RNA
Source: RNAcentral